GUGUGAGUUGGUGAUUGGAUGGCAUGGGUUGGCAGGCUCCUUGCUUUAUGCAUCGAACUGUUGGCACUCCAUCCGCUUCAGUUUUAUCCCCGAGCGAUUUUCUUGGCUUGUGGGUUCGUUUGGUAUCCUGUGUUGCUUACCCACGUAUGGGAAUUGAUCAGUUUCGGUGCUCUCAUCCACCUUGCGCCUUCUGGGGUGCGGGGUGGACGCGAGGCAGGCUUCGUGUUCCCGGUGGGUCUCGUGCUAAGUUGCGUGGCCAUCUUGGCCCAUGGAGUCUUUGCUCGUGCUCUCGGAUGCGGAAUGUUUAUGCGUGGGCAUGGGGCCUCGGCCUUGAUCCGCCUGAGCUUUACGCAUUUUCGUUUGACACGAACGACGGUCGCUCCCGUCUCGAUCCUGCUGUGCGGGUCGUGCGGGUGUUGGCGUCGCUAAGGAAUGC
This 436-nucleotide unclassified non-coding RNA is filed under the name Heckeldora leonensis. Its description in RNAcentral is "partial external transcribed spacer". Lineage: Eukaryota; Viridiplantae; Streptophyta; Magnoliopsida; Sapindales; Meliaceae. The record is from RNAcentral.